Molecule: ribosomal RNA, 406 nt
Filed under: uncultured bacterium
Lineage: Bacteria
Description: partial 16S ribosomal RNA
Rfam family: Bacterial small subunit ribosomal RNA
Source: RNAcentral
AUUGAACGCUGGCGGCAGGCCUAACACAUGCAAGUCGAACGAGUGGCGGACGGGUGAGUAAUGUAUGGGAAACUGCCCGAAGGAGGGGGAUAACGACUGGAAACGGUAGAUAAUACCGCAUACCAGCGGAUGUGCCCAGAUGGGAGUAGCUAGUAGGUGGGGUAACGGCUCACCUAGGCGACGAUCCCUAGCUGGUCUGAGAGGAUGACCAGACAGACUGUGACUGAGACACGGCCCAGACUCCUACGGGAGGCAGCAGUAGGGAAUAUGGCACAAUGGGCGAAAGCCUGAUGAAGCCAUGCCGCGUGUAUGAAGAAGGCCUUCGGGUUGUAAAGUCCUUUCAGUGAGGAGGCGUUACUCGCAGAAGAAGCACCGGCUAACUCCGUGCCAGCAGCCGCGGUAAUAC